CACUGCCAUUACCAACAACACGCGAUAAACACCCCCCUUCCCUCCAUUUCCACCACGCAGACUCGCUGACUUCGACCAAGGAUCAGAAACCAGACAACAAUGGCGGAGGUCGAAGUUAACGACGAGAACCAGCAGCUCAAGAGCAGCGCCAUAGUGGUCCCUAACCCAAAACCCAACAAGGGUUUUUCUUCAAAAGUGGUGGACUUGAUCGAGAAGCUGAUCGUGAAGUGGAUGUACGACUCUUCUCAGCCUCACCACGACCUCGCUGGCAACUUUGCUCCGGUGGCUGAUGAAACUCCUCCCACCACCAACCUCCCUGUCAUCGGCCAUCUUCCUGAGUGCUUAAAUGGAGAGUUUGUCAGGGUGGGGCCCAACCCAAAGUUUGCACCAGUUGCUGGAUAUCACUGGUUUGAUGGAGAUGGUAUGGUUCAUGGUAUGCGCAUCAAAGAUGGAAAAGCAACUUAUGUCUCCCGCUACGUAAGGACGUCACGUCUUAAGCAAGAAGAAUAUUUUGGAGGUUCUAAAUUUAUGAAGAUUGGAGACCUUAAGGGGUUUCUCGGCUUAUUCAUGAAGAGCUUGCAAAUGCUAAGAGAAAAACUGAAAAUAUUAGAUAUGUCUUAUGGUUUUGGGACUGGUAACACAGCUCUCACAUAUCACCAUGGGAAGCUUCUAGCUCUUCACGAGGCGGAUAAACCUUAUGUCCUCAAAGUUUUGGAAGAUGGAGAUCUGCAAACGGUUGGCUUGCUGGAUUAUGAUAAGAGACUGACACAUUCCUUCACUGCUCAUCCAAAGGUUGACCCAUUCACUGGUGAGAUGUUUACAUUUGGCUAUUCAUGGACUCCGCCAUAUGUCACUUACAGAGUUAUUUCGAAGGAUGGUUUCAUGCAUGACCCUAUACCGAUAACAAUACCAGACCCUGUCAUGAUGCAUGAUUUUGCAAUUACUGAGAACUAUGCAAUUUUCAUGGAUCUCCCCCUGAUCUUCAAACCAAAGGAAAUGGUUAAGGAACAAAAGUUGAUAUUCACAUUUGAUCAAACAAAAAAAGCUCGCUUUGGUUUACUUCCACGGUAUGCAAAGGAUGAGUUGCUAAUCAGAUGGUUCGAGCUUCCAAAUUGCUUCAUUUUCCAUAAUGCUAAUGCUUGGGAGGAGGAGGAUGAAGUUGUUUUAAUCACAUGCCGCUUUGAGAAUUUUGAUUUGGAAAUGUUCAAAGAAAAGCUUGAAAACUUCAGAAAUGAGCUGUACGAAAUGAGAUUCAACUUGAAAACUGGUCUAGCAUCCCAAAAGAAACUAUCAGAAGCGGCUGUAGAUUUUCCCAGGGUGAAUGAGAGCUACACCGGAAGGAAGCAGCGUUAUGUGUACGGAACCUUGCUGGACAGCAUUUUCAAGGUUACAGGAGUAGCCAAGUUUGAUCUGCAUGCUGAACCAGAGGUUGGAAAAACACAAAUUGAGGUUGGAGGAAAUGUCCAAGGCCUCUAUGACCUGGGACCUGGCAGAUUUGGUUCUGAGGCUAUUUUUGUCCCUCGCACUCCUGGCGUUACUUCUGAAGAAGAUGAUGGCUACUUAAUACUCUUUGUUCAUGACGAGAACACUGGCUGAGUAAACCGGUGUUACCAGCGGUUAUGCAGUGACGUGCGUGUGAAGUUCAAUCUUCUUGAGGACAGACUGCAAUCUAAACUUGCAUUUUGAUCAUGCAGAAAAUCAGCAAUUCAUGUAGUUGAUGCAAAGACAAUGUCACCAGACCCCGUUGCAGUUGUGGAAUUGCCACACAGAGUUCCAUACGGUUUGCAUGCUAUCUUCGUGACAGAGGAGCAAUUGCAAGAACAAGCGAAGCUCUAAUUGUUCGAUCAUUGGAAGAACCCGCAAGGGAAGGCAGGCCACUGUAAUAUAAUGUAUACACCUCUGUAUUUAAACUACUCUUGUGAUUUAUACUUGUUGCUAACAAAUUCGACUGCAAUCGAUAAUAUAAUGAUCGAACAAAAUGUAUACACCUCUGUAUUUAAACUACUCUAUUAGUCUGUUGUGUUUUAAUUACUUGGAACAAAAUGAAUCAAUACCUAUACCAUCUUGAUUAAUGUUAAUUAUAUACUUGGAUGCA
RNA transcript from Malus domestica (apple), 2095 nucleotides. It is a transcript of the gene named carotenoid 9,10(9',10')-cleavage dioxygenase 1-like, with no coding region annotated. NCBI's taxonomy places the organism in Eukaryota, Viridiplantae, Streptophyta, Magnoliopsida, Rosales, Rosaceae. The record is from RefSeq and is a predicted model, not a curated record.